UGGGGAAUUUUGGACAAUGGGGGAAACCCUGAUCCAGCCAUCCCGCGUGUGCGAUGAAGGCCUUCGGGUUGUAAAGCACUUUUGGCAGGAAAGAAACGUCAUGGGUUAAUACCCCGUGAAACUGACGGUACCUGCAGAAUAAGCACCGGCUAACUACGUGCCAGCAGCCGCGGUAAUACGUAGGGUGCAAGCGUUAAUCGGAAUUACUGGGCGUAAAGCGUGCGCAGGCGGUUCGGAAAGAAAGAUGUGAAAUCCCAGAGCUCAACUUUGGAACUGCAUUUUUAACUACCGGGCUAGAGUGUGUCAGAGGGAGGUGGAAUUUCGCGUGUGGCAGUGAAAUGCGUAGAUAUGCGGAGGAACACCGAUGGCGAAGGCAGCCUCCUGGGAUAACACUGACGCUCAUGCACGAAAGCGUGGGGAGCAAACAGG
This 429-nucleotide ribosomal RNA is filed under the name Acidobacteriota bacterium. Its description in RNAcentral is "Acidobacteria bacterium partial 16S ribosomal RNA". It matches the Rfam family "Bacterial small subunit ribosomal RNA", at positions 355 to 776 of the family's 1533-position model. Lineage: Bacteria; Pseudomonadati; Acidobacteriota. The record is from RNAcentral.